This is a long non-coding RNA of Micropterus dolomieu (smallmouth bass), 537 nucleotides long. RefSeq lists it as uncharacterized. NCBI's taxonomy places the organism in Eukaryota, Metazoa, Chordata, Actinopteri, Centrarchiformes, Centrarchidae. The transcript is spliced from 3 exons. The record is from RefSeq and is a predicted model, not a curated record.
ACUUGUCCGCAGAUUGUCAGCUUACCUCAGUGGUAUUGGCACUGCAGCCUACAAGUCUCGAGUUGUAUAUUGUGUUGUUUGUUUCUUGUGAGAUCACUUACCUUGUCUCUCUGUGCUCAGGACCACUGCCUGCCUGGAAACUCUGCCACUGCCUCACCCAGCUCCCUGCCUGUCUGGAAAUCCUGCCCCUGCCUAGCUCAGCUCACUGCCCUGGAACGCCACUUGAAGUCGGAUUUCCUACUUGUGAGCUCGGAGAAAAGAUAUGUACCCCCAAAACAAUGGCAGGCCCCAUGGAAGCAUACACUGUAAAUGGCUCCUCUUCCUGGGUGUUAGGCCAACAUAUUUGCUUGGUCUCUUCGGCGUCCGUGUGUGGGAGGAUUCCCCUUCUCCGGGCCGUACGCCAGUCUUCCUUCGCUGCCCGGCGCGGGAUCAGCCUCCUUCUCCUGGCUGUCUUGCCUCUCAGCGAUUAGUUGAGUUGCCUCUUAGUGAUCGUUCGGCUGCUCCUUUAGUGUUAGAUUUAAUAAAUUUUUAGCUGGA